This 798-nucleotide ribosomal RNA is filed under the name uncultured Proteiniphilum sp. RNAcentral's name for it is "bacterial SSU rRNA". It matches the Rfam family "Bacterial small subunit ribosomal RNA", at positions 8 to 795 of the family's 1533-position model. Lineage: Bacteria; Pseudomonadati; Bacteroidota; Bacteroidia; Bacteroidales; Dysgonomonadaceae. The record is from RNAcentral.
AGAGUUUGAUUAUGGCUCAGGAUGAACGCUAGCGAUAGGCCUAACACAUGCAAGUCGAGGGGCAGCACAUGAAGUAGCAAUACGGAUGGUGGCGACCGGCGCACGGGUGAGUAACGCGUAUGCAACCUGCCUACAACAGGGGAAUAACCCGUUGAAAGACGGACUAAUACCCCAUAACACAGGGAUCCCGCAUGGGAAUAUUUGUUAAAGAUUUAUCGGUUGUAGAUGGGCAUGCGUUCCAUUAGCUGGUUGGUGAGGUAACGGCUCACCAAGGCAACGAUGGAUAGGGGAACUGAGAGGUUUAUCCCCCACACUGGUACUGAGACACGGACCAGACUCCUACGGGAGGCAGCAGUGAGGAAUAUUGGUCAAUGGACGCAAGUCUGAACCAGCCACGUCGCGUGAAGGAAGACGGCCCUACGGGUUGUAAACCUCUUUUGUAAGGGAAUAAAGUGUAGUACGUGUACUAUUUUGCAUGUACCUUACGAAUAAGGAUCGGCUAACUCCGUGCCAGCAGCCGCGGUAAUACGGAGGAUCCGAGCGUUAUCCGGAUUUAUUGGGUUUAAAGGGUGCGCAGGCGGGAGAUUAAGUCGGCGGUGAAAUUUUGCAGCUCAGCUGUAAAAGUGCCUUCGAAACUGGUUUCCUUGAGUGUGGAUGAAGUAGGCGGAAUUUGUGGUGUAGCGGUGAAAUGCAUAGAUAUCACGAGGAACUCCGAUUGCGCAGGCAGCUUACUAAACCAUAACUGACGCUCAGGCACGAAGGCGUGGGGAUCAAACAGGAUUAGAUACCCUGGUAGUC